Molecule: ribosomal RNA, 433 nt
Filed under: uncultured bacterium
Lineage: Bacteria
Description: partial 16S ribosomal RNA
Rfam family: Bacterial small subunit ribosomal RNA
Source: RNAcentral
AACGAACGCUGGCGGCAUGCCUAACACAUGCAAGUCGAACGAGACCUUCGGGUCUAGUGGCGCACGGGUGCGUAACGCGUGGGAACCUGCCCUUAGGUUCGGAAUAACUCCCCGAAAGGGGUGCUAAUACCGGAUAAUGUCUUCGGACCAAAGAUUUAUCGCCUUUGGAUGGGCCCGCGUUGGAUUAGCUAGUUGGUAGGGUAAAAGCCUACCAAGGCGACGAUCCAUAGCUGGUCUGAGAGGAUGAUCAGCCACACUGGGACUGAGACACGGCCCAGACUCCUACGGGAGGAAGCAGUGGGGAAUAUUGGACAAUGGGCGAAAGACUGAUCCAGCAAUGCCGCGUGAGUGAUGAAGGACUUAGGGUUGUAAAGCUCUUUUACCAGGGAUGAUAAUGACAGUACCGGGAGAAUAAGCUCCGGCUAACUCCGUG